CGUGAACGCUGGCGGCGUGCCUAAUACAUGCACGUCGCCCGGAGUGGCGCACGGGUGAGUAAUGUCUAGCUAAUCUGCCCUACACUAGAGGACACCAGUUGGAAACGACUGCUAAUCAUAUAUAGUGUAGGAUGAGGCUAUUUUGUAUCAGCUAGUUGGUGAGGUAAUGGCUAACCAAGGCUAUGACGCAUAACUGGUCUGAGAGUAUGAUCAGUCCCACUGGAACUGAGACACGGUCCAGACUCCGACGGGAGGCAGCAGUAGGGAAUAUUGCUCAAUGGGGGAAACCCUGAAGCAGCAACGCCGCGUGGAGGAUUACACUUGUCGGAGCGUAAACUCCUUUGGUUAGGGAAGCGGUACCUAACGAAUAAGCACCGGCUAACUCCGUGCCAGCAGCCGCGGUAAGAC
RNAcentral lists this ribosomal RNA (408 nucleotides) under uncultured bacterium. RNAcentral's name for it is "partial 16S ribosomal RNA". It matches the Rfam family "Bacterial small subunit ribosomal RNA", at positions 29 to 526 of the family's 1533-position model. The record is from RNAcentral.